GACGAACGCUGGCGGCGUGCCUAAUACAUGCAAGUAGAACGCUGAAGAGAGGAGCUUGCUCUUCUUGGAUGAGUUGCGAACGGGUGAGUAACGCGUAGGUAACCUGCCUUGUAGCGGGGGAUAACUAUUGGAAACGAUAGCUAAUACCGCAUAACAAUAGGUGACACAUGUCAUUUAUUUGAAAGGGGCAAUUGCUCCACUACAAGAUGGACCUGCGUUGUAUUAGCUAGUAGGUGAGGUAACGGCUCACCUAGGCGACGAUACAUAGCCGACCUGAGAGGGUGAUCGGCCACACUGGGACUGAGACACGGCCCAGACUCCUACGGGAGGCAGCAGUAGGGAAUCUUCGGCAAUGGGGGCAACCCUGACCGAGCAACGCCGCGUGAGUGAAGAAGGUUUUCGGAUCGUAAAGCUCUGUUGUAAGUCAAGAACGAGUGUGAGAGUGGAAAGUUCACACUGUGACGGUAGCUUACCAGAAAGGGACGGCUAACUACGUGCCAGCAGCCGCGGUAAUACGUAGGUCCCGAGCGUUGUCCGGAUUUAUUGGGCGUAAAGCGAGCGCAGGCGGUUUGAUAAGUCUGAAGUUAAAGGCUGUGGCUCAACCAUUGUUCGCUUUGGAAACUGUCAAACUUGAGUGCAGAAGGGGAGAGUGGAAUUCCAUGUGUAGCGGUGAAAUGCGUAGAUAUAUGGAGGAACACCGGUGGCGAAAGCGGCUCUCUGGUCUGUAACUGACGCUGAGGCUCGAAAGCGUGGGGAGCGAACAGGAUUAGAUACCCUGGUAGUCCACGCCGUAAACGAUGAGUGCUAGGUGUUGGAUCCUUUCCGGGAUUCAGUGCCGCAGCUAACGCAUUAAGCACUCCGCCUGGGGAGUACGACCGCAAGGUUGAAACUCAAAGGAAUUGACGGGGGCCCGCACAAGCGGUGGAGCAUGUGGUUUAAUUCGAAGCAACGCGAAGAACCUUACCAGGUCUUGACAUCCCGAUGCUAUUUCUAGAGAUAGAAAGUUACUUCGGUACAUCGGUGACAGGUGGUGCAUGGUUGUCGUCAGCUCGUGUCGUGAGAUGUUGGGUUAAGUCCCGCAACGAGCGCAACCCCUAUUGUUAGUUGCCAUCAUUCAGUUGGGCACUCUAGCGAGACUGCCGGUAAUAAACCGGAGGAAGGUGGGGAUGACGUCAAAUCAUCAUGCCCCUUAUGACCUGGGCUACACACGUGCUACAAUGGUUGGUACAACGAGUUGCGAGUCGGUGACGGCAAGCUAAUCUCUUAAAGCCAAUCUCAGUUCGGAUUGUAGGCUGCAACUCGCCUACAUGAAGUCGGAAUCGCUAGUAAUCGCGGAUCAGCACGCCGCGGUGAAUACGUUCCCGGGCCU
This 1369-nucleotide ribosomal RNA is filed under the name uncultured bacterium. Its description in RNAcentral is "bacterial SSU rRNA". It matches the Rfam family "Bacterial small subunit ribosomal RNA", at positions 28 to 1381 of the family's 1533-position model. The record is from RNAcentral.